Molecule: ribosomal RNA, 274 nt
Filed under: uncultured bacterium
Lineage: Bacteria
Description: partial 16S ribosomal RNA
Rfam family: Bacterial small subunit ribosomal RNA
Source: RNAcentral
AUACGGAGGGUGCGAGCGUUAAUCGGAAUUACUGGGCGUAAAGCGUGCGUAGGCGGUUUGCUAAGUCAGAUGUGAAAGCCCCGGGCUUAACCUGGGAACUGCAUUUGAUACUGGCAGACUAGAGUAUGAUAGAGGGGGGUAGAAUUCCUGGUGUAGCGGUGAAAUGCGUAGAUAUCAGGAGGAAUACCAGUGGCGAAGGCGGCCCCCUGGAUCAAUACUGACGCUGAGGUACGAAAGCGUGGGGAGCGAACAGCAUUAGAAACCCCUGUAGUCC